AAUUAUUAUUAUUAAUUUUUAAUUAGAAGUGAAAUGUUAAUCGUUUUUGAAUAUAUCUAGUUUUUUUAGAAUUGAAUUAAAUUCAGCUUUAAAAUUUUAAAUAUUUUAUGUAAAUUAAAUUUUAUAAAUUAAUUAUUUUAGAGUAAAUAUAUUCGGGAUAAAUUGAUUAUAUAUUUUAUAAAUUAAUUAUUAAUUUAUUUUUAAUAGUAAUUAUAAAAUUAGAUUUCUUUUUUAAAAAUGUUUUAAUUUAUAUUUGUUUAUUUAAAUUAAUUUAAAAUUUAAUUUUUAGUUUUAAUAGUUUAUAAAAAUUUAUUAAUAAAUGAAAUUUUAUUAAAAAUAAUGAUUAUAUUAGUAAAUAAUAAAUUAUUGUAUAAAUAAUUUUAUAAUUUAAAUAUUUAAAUUUAAGGAAUUAGGCAAAAAUUUUAAUUUUUAAAUUUAUAUUUACCUGUUUAUCAAAAACAUGUCUUAUUGAUUAAAAUAAUAAGUUUAUUCUGCCCAUUGAAAUUAAUUUUAAAAGGCUGCAGUAUAUUAACUGUACAAAGGUAGCAAAAUCAAUAGUUUUUUAAUUGAAAACUUGAAUGAAAGAAUUAAUAAAAUAUAUUCUGUCUCAGAUUUAAUUUAUAAAAUUUAAAUAAAAAGUUAAAAUGCUUUUAUUAAUUUAUUAGACGAUAAGACCCUAAGAAUUUAAUAAAAUUAAUUUAUUAUUUAAUUUUGUGAAUAUAUAAAAAAUUAAAUUAAUUUUUUUUUAUUGGGAGGGUAAUUAAAUUUAUUAACUUUAAUUAUUAAUUAA
Molecule: ribosomal RNA, 790 nt
Filed under: Polistes nipponensis
Lineage: Eukaryota; Metazoa; Arthropoda; Insecta; Hymenoptera; Vespidae
Description: partial 16S rRNA
Source: RNAcentral